UCGAUUCCUUAGCUAAAAGGUAAUUCUCAAAAUGUACAGGUGUAGGAUAAAGAGUGAGAAGAUAUAGAUAGGGAAAUAGAAAUCAUGCAGCUAGGAGUGAUUUUAGAAACUCUUUGUCCAAGCCAGACCCCUGUUUUAUUUACCAUGUAUUUUGACACAUGCCACAAAGUAAGGACACAGUCAGUAUUGAAUAACUAUUUGUUGACCAAAUCUGCCUUUUGCAAUAGAGAAUCACCUUUCCAUCUCGGUUGUUGUGUUUCUCACAUAGACAACAUUCAUUCAUUCAUUCUUUGAACAGCUGUUUUUAUAGUGCUAAAUGCUAGCUCUGAGCAUCACUCGUGCCUGGCCUAACUGACUUCCUGCCUCUUAAGAGCCUCCAGAUACUUCCAAACCAGGGAACCCAAACAGGAAAAAUAUUAAAAGAAAACAUAAGAGAUAGGUAUUGAUUGUUCCAGUGUGACCAGCCUGGAAAGCAACAAGAAGAUGACAUUUGUAAGAAAGGAGUGCCUGAGGGUGAGCAAAGAGCUCUGUAUAAAAAAGUUGAAAGUUUCGCAUAAGGAAUAAAAGUAAGAAGAAACAAAAUAAGCCAAUAUCCAAGAAGUUACUUGCAAGUGUCUAAAUGAGGAGUUUAUGCACAUUUGAAAUCCAAAUGAGUGAUCUGAAGAAAAGCAAGAAAGCUUACAUUUAACCCAGUUUUGUCACAGAAGAAAGACUAUAAAAUCAGGAAUAGGUUUGGUUCAGUUCAAAAAAUUAGAUACUACUUCCCUAGCAAAUAGGCCCCUACUUGGGAGAUAAAUGCACAAUAAGCAUUGUAACUGUCCAAGUAGCUUUUGAUUUACUUAUCCAUACAAAACUUUUUGAAUGUGAUUAACAAAAUAUUUAGAAUCUGAGUGCCAGCACUGUACUAGACUCUGGAUAUAAGUGAACAAAACAGAUGGAAUCCCUGCUGUCACAGAACUUCAGAAGAAUCAUUUUGCACCUACUUGGACAACUAUAAUCAAAGAGA
RNAcentral lists this long non-coding RNA (1006 nucleotides) under Marmota monax (woodchuck). Lineage: Eukaryota; Metazoa; Chordata; Mammalia; Rodentia; Sciuridae. The record is from RNAcentral.